UGAUCCUACGGGGGGCAGCAGUCGGGAAUAUUGCGCAAUGGAGGAAACUCUGACGCAGUGACGCCGCGUAUAGGAAGAAGGUUUUCGGAUUGUAAACUAUUGUCGUUAGGGAAGAUAAAAGACUGUACCUAAGGAGGAAGCCCCGGCUAACUAUGUGCCAGCAGCCGCGGUAAUACAUAGGGGGCAAGCGUUAUCCGGAAUUAUUGGGUGUAAAGGGUGCGUAGACGGAGAAACAAGUUGGUUGUGAAAUCCCUCCGCUCAACUGAGGAACUGCAACCAAAACUAUUUCCCUUGAGUGUCGUAGG
This 305-nucleotide ribosomal RNA is filed under the name uncultured bacterium. RNAcentral's name for it is "bacterial SSU rRNA". It matches the Rfam family "Bacterial small subunit ribosomal RNA", at positions 334 to 655 of the family's 1533-position model. The record is from RNAcentral.